UGCAAGUCGUACGAAGGUUUUUAACUUUAGUGGCGGACGGGUGAGUAACACGUGAGAAUCUGCCCUUAGGAAGAGAAUAACAAUUGGAAACGGUUGCUAAUACUCUAUAUGCCGUGAGGUGAAAGGAUCUAUCCACCUUAGGAAGAGCUCGCGUCUGAUUAGCUAGUUGGUAAGGUAAUGGCUUACCAAGGCGACGAUCAGUAGCUGGUUUGAGAGGACGACCAGCCACACUGGGACUGAGACACGGCCCAGACUCCUACGGGAGGCAGCAGUGGGGAAUUUUCCGCAAUGGGCGAAAGCCUGACGGAGCAAUGCCGCGUGAGGGAUGACGGCCUGUGGGUUGUAAACCUCUUUUCUCAAGGAAGAAGCUAUGACGGUACUUGAGGAAUAAGCAUCGGCUAACUCUGUGCCAGCAGCCGCGGUAAUACAGAGGAUGCAAGCGUUAUCCGGAAUCACUGGGCAUAAAGCGUCUGUAGGUUGCUUGCCAAGUCUGCUGUUAAAGACUAGGGCCUAACCCUGGGAAAGCAGUGGAAACUAGUAGGCUUGAGUGUGGUAGAGGUAGAGGGAAUUCCUGGUGUAGCGGUGAAAUGCGUAGAUAUUAGGAAGAACACCAAUGGCGAAAGCACUCUGCUGGGCCAUAACUGACACUGAGAGACGACAGCUAGGGGAGCAAAUGGGAUUAGAUACCCCAGUAGUCCUA
RNAcentral lists this ribosomal RNA (700 nucleotides) under uncultured phototrophic eukaryote. RNAcentral describes it as "bacterial SSU rRNA". It matches the Rfam family "Bacterial small subunit ribosomal RNA", at positions 56 to 798 of the family's 1533-position model. The record is from RNAcentral.